This is a long non-coding RNA of Nannospalax galili (Upper Galilee mountains blind mole rat), 321 nucleotides long. RefSeq lists it as uncharacterized. The record is from RefSeq and is a predicted model, not a curated record. NCBI's taxonomy places the organism in Eukaryota, Metazoa, Chordata, Mammalia, Rodentia, Spalacidae. The transcript has 3 exons.
GAGGCCUAAGUGUGACUUGCUGCAGCUCAGAUGGCUCCAUAAGGGAAGAAGUGCUCUUGAGCCUGAGCCUUCUGCCUCUACCUCAGCCUCUGACUGAGCUGGGCCAGUUGGCCCCCUCAAGCCUGCCUGUCUCCUGCAGGAAUCUCUGAGAUCCUGAUGAACAGACCUCGUGCCCGCAAUGCCCUGGGGCAUGUCUUCGUCAGUGAGCUGCUUGAAGCUCUGGCCAGGCUGCGGGAGGACAAGCAAGUUCGUGUUCUGUUGUUCAGAAGUGGAGUGAAGGGUGUGUUCUGUGCAGAUGUGAAAUCAAAGACCCAGGCAGGU